UAGGGAAUAUUGGGCAAUGGAAGCAAUUCUGACCCAGCCAUGCCGCGUGAAGGAAUACAGCCCUAUGGUUUUUAAACUUCUUUUAUUAUAGAGUAACCGGAGGUACGUGUACCUCCCUGCAAGUAUAUGAUGAAUAAGGAUCGGCUCACUCCGUGCCAGCAGCCGCGGUAAUACGGCGGAUCCAAGCGUUAUCCGGAUUUAUUGGGUUUAAAGGGUGCGCAGGCGGAUCAAUAAGUCAGGGGUGAAAAAUUUCAGCUUAACUGGAAUCGUGCCUUUGAUACUGUUGGACUAGAGUAUAAUUGAGGUGAAUGGAAUGUGAUGUGUAGCGGUGAAAUGCUUAGAUAUGUCACAGAACGCCAAUCGUGAAGACAGGUCACGAAAUUAUUACUGACGCUCAUGCACGAAAGCGUGGGGAUCAAACA
This 422-nucleotide ribosomal RNA is filed under the name uncultured prokaryote. Its description in RNAcentral is "bacterial SSU rRNA". It matches the Rfam family "Bacterial small subunit ribosomal RNA", at positions 355 to 774 of the family's 1533-position model. The record is from RNAcentral.